This 500-nucleotide ribosomal RNA is filed under the name uncultured bacterium. Its description in RNAcentral is "bacterial SSU rRNA". It matches the Rfam family "Bacterial small subunit ribosomal RNA", at positions 8 to 504 of the family's 1533-position model. The record is from RNAcentral.
AGAGUUUGAUCAUGGCUCAGAUUGAACGCUGGCGGCGUGCCUAACACAUGCAAGUCGAUCGGUAACGCGGGGGCAACCCUGGCGACGAGAGGCGGACGGGUGAGCAAUGCUUGGGAAUCUGCCCAUCAGCGGGGGACAACCCGGGGAAACUCGGGCUAAUACCGCAUACGCUCUACGGAGGAAAGCAGGGGACCGCAAGGCCUUGCACUGACGGAUGAGCCCAAGCCGGAUUAGCUAGUUGGCGGGGUAACGGCCCACCAAGGCGACGAUCCGUAGCUGGUCUGAGAGGACGAUCAGCCACACCGGAACUGAGACACGGUCCGGACUCCUACGGGAGGCAGCAGUGGGGAAUAUUGGACAAUGGGGGCAACCCUGAACCAGCGAUGCCGCGUGAGUGAUGAAGGCCUUCGGGUUGUAAAGCUCUGUGGGGAGGGGAGAAAAAGCACGUUCUAACAGGACGUGUGUUGACGGUACCUCCUUAGCAAGCACCGGCUAACUCU